Molecule: small nucleolar RNA, 79 nt
Organism: Oryzias melastigma (Indian medaka)
Lineage: Eukaryota; Metazoa; Chordata; Actinopteri; Beloniformes; Adrianichthyidae
Product: small nucleolar RNA snR60/Z15/Z230/Z193/J17
Source: Ensembl
UGGAUGCAAUGAUGAGCGCAUAGUUCAGCAGAUCAAAAUGAAGAACAAACAUGUCUUUCGCUCCUAACUGAUGCAUCAG